AUACGUAGGGGGCGAGCGUUGUCCGGAAUGAUUGGGCGUAAAGGGCGCGUAGGCGGCGCGGUAAGUCUGGAGUGAAAGUCCUGCUUUCAAGGUGGGAAUUGCUUUGGAUACUGCCGCGCUUGAGUGCAGGAGAGGUUAUCGGAAUUCCCGGUGUAGCGGUGAAAUGCGUAGAGAUCGGGAGGAACACCAGUGGCGAAGGCGGGUAAGAGGGCUGCAUCUGACGCUGAGGCGCGAAAGUGUGGGGAGCAAACAGGAUUAGAUACCCUGGUAGUCCACACUGUAAACGAUGAAUGCUAGGUGUAAGAGGUAUCGACCCCUUCUGUGCCGCAGGCAACACAAUAAGCAUUCCGCCUGGGGAGUACGGCCGCAAGGUUGAAACUCAAAUGAAUUGACGGGG
This 397-nucleotide ribosomal RNA is filed under the name uncultured bacterium. RNAcentral describes it as "partial 16S ribosomal RNA". It matches the Rfam family "Bacterial small subunit ribosomal RNA", at positions 523 to 918 of the family's 1533-position model. The record is from RNAcentral.